Molecule: ribosomal RNA, 305 nt
Filed under: uncultured bacterium
Lineage: Bacteria
Description: bacterial SSU rRNA
Rfam family: Bacterial small subunit ribosomal RNA
Source: RNAcentral
UCUCCCUACGGGAGGCAGCAGUGGGGAAUAUUGCACAAUGGGGGAAACCCUGAUGCAGCGACGCCGCGUGAGUGAAGAAGUAAUUCGUUAUGUAAAGCUCUAUCAGCAGGGAAGAAAAUGACGGUACCUGAGUAAGAAGCCCCGGCUAACUACGUGCCAGCAGCCGCGGUAAUACGUAGGGGGCAAGCGUUAUCCGGAUUUACUGGGUGUAAAGGGAGCGUAGACGGCAGGGCAAGUCUGGAGUGAAAGGAGGGGGCUCAACCCCCGGACUGCUCGGGAAACUGUACGGCUGGAGUGAAGGGGGG